AUUACUGGGCGUAAGCGUGCGUAGGCGGUUAUUUAAGUCAGAUGUGAAAGCCCCGGGCUUAACCUGGGAACUGCAUUUGAUACUGGGUAACUAGAGUUUAAUAGAGGAGAGUGGAAUUUCAGGUGUAGCGGUGAAAUGCGUAGAGAUCUGAAGGAACACCAGUGGCGAAGGCGACUCUCUGGAUUAAAACUGACGCUGAGGUACGAAAGCGUGGGUAGCAAACAGGAUUAGAUACCCUGGUAGUCCACGCCGUAAACGAUGUCAACUAGCCGUUGGGCCUUUUAACAGGCUUAGUGGCGCAGCUAACGCAUUAAGUUGACCGCCUGGGGAGUACGGCCGCAAGGUUAAAACUCAAAUGAAUUGACGGGGGCCCGCACAAGCGGUGGAGCAUGUGGUUUAAUUCGAUGCAACGCGAAGAACCUUACCUACCCUUGAC
RNAcentral lists this ribosomal RNA (436 nucleotides) under uncultured Methylobacter sp. RNAcentral's name for it is "bacterial SSU rRNA". It matches the Rfam family "Bacterial small subunit ribosomal RNA", at positions 550 to 985 of the family's 1533-position model. The record is from RNAcentral. Lineage: Bacteria; Pseudomonadati; Pseudomonadota; Gammaproteobacteria; Methylococcales; Methylococcaceae.